RNAcentral lists this transfer RNA (76 nucleotides) under Gammaproteobacteria bacterium. Its description in RNAcentral is "tRNA-Phe". It matches the Rfam family "tRNA". Rfam says of the family: Transfer RNA (tRNA) molecules are approximately 80 nucleotides in length. Their secondary structure includes four short double-helical elements and three loops (D, anti-codon, and T loops). RNAcentral also lists the same sequence under 6 other names. The record is from RNAcentral. Lineage: Bacteria; Pseudomonadati; Pseudomonadota; Gammaproteobacteria.
GGCCAGGUAGCUCAGUAGGAAGAGCACAGGUCUGAAAAACCUGGGGUCGGCAGUUCGAUUCUGCCCCUGGCCACCA